RNAcentral lists this non-coding RNA (176 nucleotides) under Williopsis saturnus. The record is from RNAcentral. RNAcentral also lists the same sequence under 2 other names. Lineage: Eukaryota; Fungi; Ascomycota; Saccharomycetes; Phaffomycetales; Wickerhamomycetaceae.
AAGUAUUCUUCGGUGCAGCCAGCGCUUCCACAGCGCGGCAGCCCAAACCUUACACACUGUGAUUAGUUUUUUUACUAUUUACUUUGGCUGCGCAAGUGGCCAAAGGUCUUAAACACAAAGAUUUAUAUCUUUUUUUACAAAAUUUAGUCAAUGAAGUUUUAAUACUAUAAUCUUCA